This 765-nucleotide ribosomal RNA is filed under the name Pseudo-nitzschia fraudulenta. RNAcentral's name for it is "partial Bacterial large subunit ribosomal RNA". It matches the Rfam family "Bacterial large subunit ribosomal RNA", at positions 1120 to 1886 of the family's 2925-position model. The record is from RNAcentral. Lineage: Eukaryota; Bacillariophyta; Bacillariophyceae; Bacillariales; Bacillariaceae.
CAUUUAAAGAGUGCGUAAUAGCUCACUAGUCGAGUGACACUGCGCCGAAAAUGUACCGGGGCUAAACAUAUUACCGAAGCUGUGGAUUGUCCUUUGGACAAUGGUAGGAGAGCGUUCUAAGGGCGUUGAAGCAUGAUCGUAAGGACAUGUGGAGCGCUUAGAAGUGAGAAUGCCGGUGUGAGUAGCGAAAGACGGGUGAGAAUCCCGUCCACCGAUUGACUAAGGUUUCCAGAGGAAGGCUCGUCCGCUCUGGGUUAGUCGGGUCCUAAGCUGAGGCCGACAGGCGUAGGCGAUGGAUAACAGGUUGAUAUUCCUGUACCACCUAUAAUCGUUUUAAUCGAUGGGGGGACGCAGUAGGAUAGGCGAAGCGUGCGAUUGGAUUGCACGUCUAAGCAGUAAGGCUGAGUAUUAGGCAAAUCCGGUACUCGUUAAGGCUGAGCUGUGAUGGGGAGGAGACAUUGUGUCUUCGAGUCGUUGAUUUCACACUGCCGAGAAAAGCCUCUAGAUAGAAAAUAGGUGCCCGUACCGCAAACCGACACAGGUAGUCAAGAUGAGAAUUCUAAGGUGAGCGAGCGAACUCUCGUUAAGGAACUCGGCAAAAUGACCCCGUAACUUCGGGAGAAGGGGUGCUCUUUAGGGUUAACGCCCAGAAGAGCCGCAGUGAAUAGGCCCAAGCGACUGUUUAUCAAAAACACAGGUCUCUGCUAAACCGUAAGGUGAUGUAUAGGGGCUGACGCCUGCCCGGUGCUGGAAGGUUAAGAGGAG